UCGAAAAUGAAGAGGCCGCACAACUUAGGUGGUUAUGGUAGAUUGACAUUAAAGGCACUCGUGCAUCCACUGCCUCUAAAUCUUGAUUCACCUCAGUAUUUUUUGUUGAUCCAUCUAAAGGUUAAAUUUUUGAUCAAAGUAAAUCAUCUUUGCCUGGAAAUAUAAUAGAUUCAUUAGUUUUGAUUUUCCUGUACCAGUGUAUUUUGAGCUUGAAUUUUGUUUUGUACGAUGAAAACCAACUUGUUUGAUGCAAUACCUGCUAGAAAAUCUUGUGAGUUUGGCAUUUCUUUAGCUAGUGACACGGUUGAAGAUAUUAGACCCUAAUGAAUUUUCUAUUGGAAUUACAGUUACUCAACUCAAAUAUUGGAUACUUCAAAUACAUAGGAUCUGCAAGAAGCAUUGUUAUUGUUACAACUUUAAUCAGUGAAAAGCUAAUGAUAUUAGCUAAAAUUUGAGGUACAUAUUUCUGGAAAGGGAUUGCAGCAUUUGAAGAGAAGUGUUGAACUAAUGGGUAGCAAGAUACAAAUCAAAUGGCCAAAAGAAGUCACAGCGGCUUUUGUUGAACAGCUGAUUCGAGCAGAAAAAGAUUAUA
RNAcentral lists this long non-coding RNA (592 nucleotides) under Capsicum annuum. Its description in RNAcentral is "long non-coding RNA (CANN_LNC003450)". The record is from RNAcentral. Lineage: Eukaryota; Viridiplantae; Streptophyta; Magnoliopsida; Solanales; Solanaceae.